Molecule: non-coding RNA, 278 nt
Filed under: Nematostella vectensis (starlet sea anemone)
Lineage: Eukaryota; Metazoa; Cnidaria; Anthozoa; Actiniaria; Edwardsiidae
Description: Bacterial large subunit ribosomal RNA
Rfam family: Bacterial large subunit ribosomal RNA
Source: Rfam by way of RNAcentral
AGUUUAAAUAGGAAAGGUAUCUAGUGGAUACUUAGGCAUUGAAGUAAUGAAGACGUUUUUAUUACGACGAAAUAGUUAAGGGGAAUAGUAUAGAAUUUUGUGAUCCUUAAUUUUCUUCUUGUGGGAAACCACAGUAUAUUUGUAUUGAGUACUUAGUGAACUGAAACAUCUUAGUAGCUAAAGGAAAAGAAAUUAAUUAAAGAUUCUAUUAGUAGCGGUGAGCGAAUGUAGAGAAGGCUUAAACUAUGGUUUAUUUAUAUAAGUAGAAAACUUUGGAA